GACGAACGCUGGCGGCGUGCUUAACACAUGCAAGUCGAACGGAAAGGCCCUGCUUUUGUGGGGUGCUCGAGUGGCGAACGGGUGAGUAACACGUGAGUAACCUGCCCUUGACUUUGGGACAACUUCAGGAAACUGGGGCUAAUACCGGAUAGGAGCUCCUGCUGCAUGGUGGGGGUUGGAAAGUUUCGGCGGUUGGGGAUGGACUCGCGGCUUAUCAGCUUGUUGGUGGGGUAGUGGCUUACCAAGGCUUUGACGGGUAGCCGGCCUGAGAGGGUGACCGGCCACAUUGGGACUGAGAUACGGCCCAGACUCCUACGGGAGGCAGCAGUGGGGAAUAUUGCACAAUGGGCGGAAGCCUGAUGCAGCAACGCCGCGUGCGGGAUGACGGCCUUCGGGUUGUAAACCGCUUUCGCCUGUGACGAAGCGUGAGUGACGGUAAUGGGUAGAGAAGCACCGGCUAACUACGUG
This 468-nucleotide ribosomal RNA is filed under the name uncultured bacterium. RNAcentral's name for it is "partial 16S ribosomal RNA". It matches the Rfam family "Bacterial small subunit ribosomal RNA", at positions 28 to 507 of the family's 1533-position model. The record is from RNAcentral.